Molecule: RNase P RNA, 374 nt
Filed under: uncultured Metasolibacillus sp.
Lineage: Bacteria; Bacillati; Bacillota; Bacilli; Caryophanales; Caryophanaceae
Description: Bacterial RNase P class B
Rfam family: Bacterial RNase P class B
About the family: Ribonuclease P (RNase P) is a ubiquitous endoribonuclease, found in archaea, bacteria and eukarya as well as chloroplasts and mitochondria. Its best characterised activity is the generation of mature 5'-ends of tRNAs by cleaving the 5'-leader elements of precursor-tRNAs.
Source: RNAcentral
UUCGAGUAAUCGCUGCAUCUUAUAAGAUGUAGAGGAAAGUCCAUGCUCACACGGCUCUGAGAUGACCGUAGUGUUCGUGCUUACCGAAAAAAUAAGGUAAGGCAAGCAGAUGCUUGACGGCGAAAGGAAUACCUAAGUCUUAUGAUAUGGUAGAAACUUUCUGAAGGUGCCACAGUGACGGAGCUUGCUUGGAAACAAGCAAGGUGGAACGAGGUAAACCCCGCGAGUGAGAAACCCAAAUUAUGGUAGGGGCACUCUCCAAAAGGAAUUGAACGGCUGGAGGGACAGGCAAACGUCUGUAGAUAGAUGAUUACUACCUGAGCGUACGAGGCGAUUCGCUGUUUGAGUACACAGGAACAAAACAUGGCUUACUG